Non-coding RNA from Trichobilharzia regenti, 45 nucleotides. NCBI's taxonomy places the organism in Eukaryota, Metazoa, Platyhelminthes, Trematoda, Strigeidida, Schistosomatidae. The record is from Rfam.
AUCCAGUUGGCGAGUCCCAAAUGGGGCGAAAUACGCAUCCUGGAU